GCUUACCACCCCUUCGUCGCGCCUACACGCUGCGUUGGAUUCCUCCAGCACAAACAACUGUACGAGUACUCGCUAAUGGCGGACGGUGGAGGUGGUGUUCCUGUCGCAUUUGUGAUUUCACACUAAAUAGGAAGGAAUCGGCGCUGGAUUGUUACACAACUGUUGCACCAGUGAAGGAUGUCUGUGUGCUGCCUUGCAUUCAGUUUCUCAGUCAUGGGGGCCUGCUUGCAACACCAGUGGCAAAGCAGUCUUGCAUUGUGCUAUUUGUUCUGGAAGUACACAAGCAUUGAGGAGCCAUUUGACCUGCCACUACACUGAUACGGUAUUUGGCAAAGGCAGGAGGCAUCUGCAAGCAACCAAUCAUUCCGAUUCUCAACCAAUCCUUCUAGUCAGCCCAUUUCUAGUGUCUUAUCUUGCAAGUUUUUUUCAGUAAAGCACAAUAAACACGCAGUUUCGUUCAGAUUCAGGUGGCUUGUUGCUUUUUGGGCACGAAUUUGUAUGUAUGCUUUGUACACGUCAUGUACAGAACUCAAAUGCAACAUGGCAACACUGACACGAAGAUGAAGCGGUGUAGAAGACAGUUACACAAGGAGGAAACGUGCACACACAGCAUGUUCAGUGUGGUGUAUGUCCACUUAUGUGCAUUGAUUUCUGCCCCAUUUCAAGCUAUAUCUGAUGCGAGUUAGCCAUGUU
Long non-coding RNA from Dermacentor silvarum, 693 nucleotides. RefSeq lists it as uncharacterized. The transcript has 4 exons. The record is from RefSeq and is a predicted model, not a curated record. NCBI's taxonomy places the organism in Eukaryota, Metazoa, Arthropoda, Arachnida, Ixodida, Ixodidae.